UACUCCUACGGGGGGCAGCAGUGAGGAAUAUUGGUCAAUGGUCGGGAGACUGAACCAGCCAAGCCGCGUGAGGGAUGAAGGUACAGAGUAUCGUAAACCUCUUUUGUCAGGGAACAAAGGCGGGGACGUGUCCCCGGAUGAGUGUACCUGAAGAAAAAGCAUCGGCUAACUCCGUGCCAGCAGCCGCGGUAAUACGUAGGGGGCAAGCGUUAUCCGGAUUUACUGGGUGUAAAGGGAGCGUAGGCGGCCACGCAAGUCAGAAGUGAAAACCCGGGGCUCAACCCUGGGAGUGCUUUUGAAACUUG
This 305-nucleotide ribosomal RNA is filed under the name uncultured bacterium. RNAcentral describes it as "bacterial SSU rRNA". It matches the Rfam family "Bacterial small subunit ribosomal RNA", at positions 334 to 635 of the family's 1533-position model. The record is from RNAcentral.